This is a long non-coding RNA of Oncorhynchus tshawytscha (Chinook salmon), 1455 nucleotides long. Lineage: Eukaryota; Metazoa; Chordata; Actinopteri; Salmoniformes; Salmonidae. The record is from Ensembl.
AGUCAAUGAGCUUUACAUUGGCUGUAAUGACUCACUCCAUCUGAUCUCUAUAUCACAUGUAUUUGCUUGUGAAAAGCUGCUAAACAUUUCGUACAGUAGCUACAUAACAAGACGCAAGAUAUAAACAACAGCAAAGCCUUAUUAGGUAAGUAUCGGAAUAGAAAUAGGCUUCGACCCAGAUGCGCAAUAUGCAUAAUGACAGUCAUUUAUUUAAUCUUUCAGCUUUCUCUAAAAUAUUCAUUUAUUCUGGGGGAAUACCUGAAUGGGUUAAUGCCAUGUGCCCUUCAUCACUAUUAACCCUGCUCCGCCCACAACCGUAAGGCUCUCCAGAGGGUAGUGAGGUCUGCACAACGCAUCACCGGGGGCAAACUACCUGCCGUCCAGGACACCUACACCACCCGAUGUCACAGGAAGGCCAUAAAGAUCAUCAAGGACAACAACCACCCGAGCCACUGCCUGUUCACCCCGCUAUCAUCCAGAAGGCGAGAUAUCUUCCUCAAAAGUUUCCCUGUGCAGGCAGGAGAACUGAAAGACAAACUGUUCUUGGUUAAUGAGGUUGAGGGAGGCUUCUCUGAUGAACAGAUCACUUCCCCGAGGAGAUGUGUAAUAUUCCUUACUUGAGCACCAGACUGGAUCUGCUGAUGACUCUGAGAGAGCUUCCCGUAAGCAUGGAGGAUCUGCAGCCACUGAUUAACCAGAAGAUCAGGAUGUGCACGCAGUUAUGCGGCUCCAGGUCGUUCAUCUCCGUGCUGCAGUACCUGCUGUCCAUCGGCAAUUGCCUCAACAAGAACGCAGGGCAGGGAAAGGCCAAGGGAUUCCGCCUGUCCUCUUUAACUAAACUCUCCCAGGUCCAUGGGACAGACAGGAAGUUCACCUUGCUGCAUGCCCUUGUGGAGCAGAUCAUGUUGCACGAAGCCGGCUUGGCCACUUUUCCCCAAGAGUUGGCGGAAUUCGAAACUGUCCCUGGAGCUUCCAUUAAAGGCCUAACUGCUGAAGUGGAUGAUGAGCGCAUCAUAGUGUGGCGGUGAAGGGAAUUUCCAUUUGUCAGGCAUAUUAUGACGAUUGAGAAGUACAACACAGAUCUCUCCCUGCUGACAAAGAGGUGUGAGGGAAUGAGGAAACUCUACACUGAUAUAUUGGCUAAAUUCGGAGAGCCAAUGGAUCAAGAUUCUCAGGAGCUGUUUGGAUUGGUGUGCCAGUUUGUCAACGACUUCAAGAGGACACAUACUGAAAUCAGAUAACAAUAUUUGCUGUCCUUGAGAUACUAUCUAUGUAAAUUCAGCCAGUCUGAAUAGAAUGUAGUUAUAAUUUGUGUACCACACAAGCUGUGCUAUUUCAGUAGUCAAAAAAACCUGGCAUUCUACUGAGAAACAUAACUCACAGCUGUGACUAAUAUUAUGAUCAGGCGGCUAGACUUGAGUACUGCAAUUUCAGUAGGAAAAUAUUUUAGUGUAC